RNAcentral lists this ribosomal RNA (497 nucleotides) under uncultured bacterium. Its description in RNAcentral is "partial 16S ribosomal RNA". It matches the Rfam family "Bacterial small subunit ribosomal RNA", at positions 28 to 507 of the family's 1533-position model. The record is from RNAcentral.
GACGAACGCUGGCGGCGUGCCUAAUACAUGCAAGUAGAACGCUGAAGCGAGGAGCUUGCUCUUCUUGGAUGAGUUGCGAACGGGUGAGUAACGCGUAGGUAACCUGCCUUGUAGCGGGGGAUAACUAUUGGAAACGAUAGCUAAUACCGCAUAACAAUGGAUGACACAUGUCAUUUAUUUGAAAGGGGCAAUUGCUCCACUACAAGAUGGACCUGCGUUGUGUUAGCUAGUAGGUGAGGUAAUGGCUCACCUAGGCGACGAUACAUAGCCGACCUGAGAGGGUGAUCGGCCACACUGGGACUGAGACACGGCCCAGACUCCUACGGGAGGCAGCAGUAGGGAAUCUUCGGCAAUGGGGGCAACCCUGACCGAGCAACGCCGCGUGAGUGAAGAAGGUUUUCGGAUCGUAAAGCUCUGUUGUAAGUCAAGAACGGGUGUGAGAGUGGAAAGUUCACACUGUGACGGUAGCUUACCAGAAAGGGACGGCUAACUACGUG